UACCAUGAUAUUGUUGACUGCAUUUAGGA
Molecule: non-coding RNA, 29 nt
Filed under: Mus musculus (house mouse)
Lineage: Eukaryota; Metazoa; Chordata; Mammalia; Rodentia; Muridae
Source: RNAcentral